GACGAACGCUGGCGGCGUGCCUAAUACAUGCAAGUCGAACGAGAGCGACCGGUGCUUGCACUGGUCAAUCUAGUGGCGAACGGGUGAGUAACACGUGGGUAACCUGCCUAUCAGAGGGGGAUAACAUCCGGAAACGGAUGCUAAAACCGCAUAGGUCUUCGAACCGCAUGGCUUGAAGGGGAAAAGAGGCGCAAGCUUCUGCUGAUGGAGGGACCCGCGGUGCAUUAGCUAGUUGGUGAGGUAACGGCUCACCAAGGCCGUGAUGCAUAGCCGACCUGAGAGGGUGAUCGGCCACAUUGGGACUGAGACACGGCCCAGACUCCUACGGGAGGCAGCAGUAGGGAAUCUUCCGCAAUGGACGCAAGUCUGACGGAGCAACGCCGCGUGAGUGAAGAAGGUUUUCGGAUCGUAAAACUCUGUUGUUAGGGAAGAACAAGUGCUAGAGUAACUGUUAGCGCCUUGACGGUAUCUAACCAGAAAGCCACGGCUAACUACGUG
RNAcentral lists this ribosomal RNA (498 nucleotides) under uncultured bacterium. RNAcentral describes it as "partial 16S ribosomal RNA". It matches the Rfam family "Bacterial small subunit ribosomal RNA", at positions 28 to 507 of the family's 1533-position model. The record is from RNAcentral.